This 440-nucleotide ribosomal RNA is filed under the name uncultured bacterium. RNAcentral describes it as "partial 16S ribosomal RNA". It matches the Rfam family "Bacterial small subunit ribosomal RNA", at positions 338 to 795 of the family's 1533-position model. The record is from RNAcentral.
CCUACGGGAGGCAGCAGUGGGGAAUAUUGCACAAUGGGGGAAACCCUGAUGCAGCGACGCCGCGUGAGUGAAGAAGGAUUUCGGGAUGUAAAGCUCUAUCAGCAGGGAAGAAAAUGACGGUACCUGAGUAAGAAGCCCCGGCUAACUACGUGCCAGCAGCCGCGGGAAGACGUAGGGGGCAAGCGUUAGCCGGAUUUACUGGGUGUAACGGGAGCGUAGACGGCAGCACAAGUCUGGAGUGAAAUGCCGGGGCUGAACCCCGGAACUGCUUUGGAAACUGUGCAGCUAGAGUGCAGGAGAGGUAAGUGGCAUUCCUAGUGUAGCGGUGAACUGCGUAGAUAUUAGGAGGCACACCAGUGGCGAAGGCGGCUUACUGGACUGUAACUGCCGUUGAGGCUCGACAGCGUGGGGAGCAAACAGGAUUAGAUACCCCUGUAGUC